RNAcentral lists this long non-coding RNA (9508 nucleotides) under Sarcophilus harrisii (Tasmanian devil). RNAcentral's name for it is "lncRNA (ENSSHAG00000024382.1)". Lineage: Eukaryota; Metazoa; Chordata; Mammalia; Dasyuromorphia; Dasyuridae. The record is from RNAcentral.
GGUAGAUUCGCUAUUAGAUUUAAUGGCAACUAUCCAAUUUGAUCAAUUUGAUUGAGCUUAACCUCCCCAGUUUUUUUCCAGCUGAGAUGGAAGUGCUAAAGGACAAGGUAAUGACUUUUCAAUUAACCAUGGAAUUUCUGAAGAAUGAGACACAGCAGUUCUGCAAAAAUGAUUCCAAAAUCAGAUAUGAACUGAUUGAGAGUCCAUAUCAGAACUGAAAUGAAGUUUAGAGCUCAUCCACUAAUUUACUACUCUCAUUCUAUGAAAAAGUAAAUUGAGGCUCAGAAAGGGGGAGGUCAUGAAUUAAUCUCACAGAUAGGUAGUUAUAGAGCCAGCAUAAAUCCAGCCCAAUGCAGGGCUUUUUUAAAUGAACUCUACACUCCUGCUUCUGUAUUCCGUGCCAUUGCAAAACUCCCAAAGCAAAACAAAGAUUUUUAAAAGUCUAUGUGAUCAAAGACAUUAUUUAUCUGUUUCCAUAAAGGCAGCUUUGAAUAAGACUGUAAUAGAAUCACUUUUUCCCUAGGUUUUCAGGAACUGGUAUAAAAUAACCAACUAAAGUUGUAUUGAACAGAACCAUCUCUAAUAAUUAAAUGUCUGAUUGAAAGAAUUUAGAAAGUGCAAUUCGUAAUAGAUCCCUUUUUCAUUUAAAAAGUAUAUUUUAUGAUAUUUCCUUAUCAUUUUAUAAGCAUCUAAUCUAGCAUUAUUUUUUCUCCUUUUUUCAAGAAAGACGGAUGGGUGCUUUUGACAAUAAUUUUGGGGGUACUGGUGAUGGCAAGAUUUGUAAUGAUUAGCCAUCAUCUACGAUUUGGGAGGCACUUCAUUUCAUAUUCAUCCCCUCUCCAAGUAGUUUUUCUUAAGCUUUGAAAAUAUUUAUUAUUAUAUGAUUCUUGUGCUAUCUUUUUUCAUCAUUUACCUCAAAUUCUCCCUGAAGAAAUUCUUGAUAAUCAUUUUUAACAUUUAAGUGGUUCUGUGACUCUACUUUAAUAUAUAUUAUAUACUUUCAGUGAGGUGGCAUAAUAAAUAGAGUGCUAGGUCUAGAAGAUAGGAAAACUCCUCUUAGCUGUGUAACCCUUGGCAAGUCAAUUAGUUCCAUUUGUUUCACUUCCUCAUCUGUAAAAUGAAUUGAAGAAGGAAUUGGCAAACCCAUCCAGUGUCUCUGUCAAGAAAACUCCAAACUUUACUUUCAAUCAAUCAACUAAUCAAUCAGCAAGAAUAUAGACUUGUUGUCUACUAUAUGCUACAACUCUGUUAGAUGUUAGGGAUACAGAUACAGAAAGUGAAAUUAUCUUUACUUGCAAGUUAAUGCAAAUUCUAAUGGAAAAGGGAAUAAAUACAUAUUUAUACAUGAAUGAGAAAAUGAAGACAAAGUGGUUAGUAGUAGUUUGAAAGGGAAAGUGAUGGUAUUUGAAGGAAUAAGAAAGUCUUUCUGUAGGAAACAAUGCUUGAGCUGAGACUUGAAGGGUAAGAGGGAAUCUCUGAGGCAAAGGUGAAAAGGGACUGAAUUCUAAGUAUUAUGAACACAUGGGGCAAAAGUAGAGAUGGAACAUGAGUUGCUGUAUAUGAAGAGAAAUAAAAAAGCCAAUUUGGCUGUUUUUCACUGAAUGAUGGAAGAAAAGCAGAGGAAAAAUGUGCAACAAGACUAGAAGGAUAGGUUGGGCAAUGUCAUGAUUAAGUUUAAAAACUUAACAGAAAAGUUUACAUUUGAUUUUAGAAGCAAUAGGGAGCCACAGUUCAUAGAAUCAAAGUGUAUAUGGUCAGAUCUUUAGAUUAAUCUUUAAGGAAAAUUAUUUUUGUCAGAAAUCUGAACGAUGGACUGAAUUGAAUCCAAAAGACCAUUAGGGAUGUAAUCAUAAGGAUCUAGGUGAGAAGAUGUUGAAGUUCUAGUACAAUAUGGCAGAUCUGUGGGUAAAGAAAAAGGAUCAGAUUUGAGAAAUGUUGUGGAGGUGGAAAUAGUCAGAUUUGGAAACCAAUUAAACAUGUAGAGUUAAGGAGAAUAAAGGGUCAAGAAUACAGCCAAGGUUACACAUGACUUAAAGAUCGAAAGAAUAGUGUUCUUUGAGAUAAAUAGGAAGGUUUGAAAGACAAGUCAAAUUUGGGCAAAAGAUAAAUAAGUUGUGAUUUCCUCAUGUUGAGUCUGAGAUGGACGACCAACUUGACAUGUGCAAUAGGUAAUGUGAGACUGAGGCUUGGCAAAGAAGGGCAUUGCAUAUAUAGAUUUAGGGAUCAGCAGCAGAGAGAUAAGUGCACCUAUGAAAGCUAUAUGGUCAGCAAGAGAAAUAAAAAGGAGAUGUAGAGAGAAAAAAAGAGGAAGGAAAUGAGAAUAGAGUCCUUCAGGGAGAGAACUUGAUGUGUAGGAUAAAGCUGAUGGGUGAUCAGUUGGUGGGAGAAUGGAGGAGAGUAAUGUCAUGGAAAUCAAGAAGGGUCACAUAAAAAGAGAGAACAAGAAGGAUGCUCAACCCCUUUGAAGACACUUUACAACUGGUUCUGGAUAAAUUAGUUAAUGAAUUAAAAAAUGAUUGCUUUAAAUUAGUAAUAGUGAAAAACAAUAUUCUUCAUUCAGAACACUGGUUAAUGACAGUUUUAAAGGCCAUGGGAAACUAGACAAAAAGUACAGGAAGGAAAAAGAAAGAAAGGAAAUCCAAAGUAUAUGUAUAUAUGUCAAAGUAUAUGAAAUAAUGCAGGACAUGGCGGCAAAUCCAUACUUACCACAGUUAGGUUUAUAACAUAUUCCUGCUUAUUUCCUCUUAACCAGUAAAACACUUUCCCAUCUUUGUGCACAUCAUUCCCUCCAGAAGGAAUAUUCUCUUUAAGCCUUACAAUUAAGUUUUUCCAUCUCAGUUUUUCCUGAGAAAUCUUCCCUAUCCUUCGAGGCCUAAUUUAAAUAUCUCCUCUUCCAUUAACCUUCCUUAAUUCCCUGACCUGGAAGGGCUUAUUCCCUGUUUUUGAUCUCCUAUUGAUUUAUAAUCCUUUUAUGAAUUAAUUAUGAAGCAUAUAAAUGAUGUGGUGAGGAGAGAUCCAGGCCUGGAAUCAGGAAAAUCUGAAUUCAAAUUCAAGACAUUUACUGGCAAUGUGACUCAAAUUAAGUCACUUAAAUCCUGUCAGAUUUAGUUUCUUCAAGUGUAAAAAUGAAGAUAAUAAGAGCUUCUAUCUCAACACAUUGCUGUCUGGAUGAAAAUGAGAUAACACAAAUCUCUAUAAAGUGUUUAUCAUAGUACCUAACACAUAAAAGACAUUUAAUAAAAACUUGUUCCCUUGUACUUUCUCCCAAUGUGAUAUCUAUUUAAAAAUAUCUUAUUCCCUGGACUAUAACAUGCCCAAGGAUUGCAAAGAAUAACAGAGUGUAUACUAGAGACACUUAAUACAUACUUUUUGAGGGGAUGACUAAUUGAAAUUAAGAGACUUCUUGCCUGGACCACCCAUUUUUUUUUAUUUAAUAGCCUUUUAUUUACAGGAUAUAUGCAUGGGUAACUUUACAUCAUUAACAAUUGCCAAACCUCUUGUUCCAAUUUUUCACCUCUUACCCCCCACCCCCUCCCCCAGAUGACAGGAUGACCAGUAGAUGUUAAGUACAUUAAAAUAUAAAUUAGAUACACAAUAAGUAUACAUGACCAAAACGUUAUUUUGCUGUACAAAAAGAAUCAGACUCUGAAAUAUUGUACAAUUAGCUUGUGAAGGAAAUCAAAACUGCAGGUGGGCAUAAAUAUAGGAAUUGGGAAUUCAAUGUAAUGGUUUUUAGUCAUCUCCCAGAGUUCUUUCUCUGGGCAUAGCUGGUUCAGUUCAUUACUGCUCCACUGGAAAUGAUUUGGUUGAUCUCGUUGCUGAGGAUGGCCAGUUCCAUCAGAACUGGUCAUCAUAUAGUAUUGUUGUUGACGUAUAUAAUGAUCUCCUGGUCCUGCUCAUUUCACUCAGCAUCAGUUCGUGUAAGUCUCUCCAGGCCUUUCUGAAAUCAUCCUGUUGGUCAUUUCUUACAGAACAGUAAUAUUGCAUAAUAUUCAUAUACCACAAUUUAUUCAGCCAUUCUCCAACUGAUGGACAUCCAUUCAGUUUCCAGUUUCUAGCCACUACAAAGAGGGCUGCCACAAACAUUCGUGCACAUACAGGUCCCUUUCCCUUCUUUAUAAUCUCUUUGGGGUAUAAUCCCAGUAGUAACACUGCUGGAUCAAAGGGUAUGCACAGUUUGAUAACUUUUUGAGCAUAGUUCCAAACUACUCUCCAGAAUGGUUGGAUUCGUUCACAACUCCACCAACAAUGCAUCAAUGUCCCAGUUUUCCCGCAUCCCCUCCAACAAUCAUCAUUAUUUCUUCCUGUCAUCUUAGCCAAUCUGACAGGUGUGUAGUGGUAUCUUAGAGUUGUCUUAAUUUGCAUUUCUCUGAUUAAUAAUGACUUGGAGCAUCUUUUCAAAUGACUAGAAAUAGUUUUAAUUUCUUCAUCUGAGAAUUGUCUGUUCAUAUCCUUUGACCAUUUUUCAAUUGGAGAAUGGCUUGAUUUUUUUAUAAAUUAGAGUUAAUUCUUUAUAUAUUUUGGAAAUGAGGCCUUUAUCAGAACCUUUGACUGUAAAAAUAUUUUCCUAGUUUAUUGCUUCCCUUCUAAUCUUGUCUGCAUUAGUUUUGUUUGUACAAAAACUUUUUAGUUCGGUAUAAUCAAAAUUUUCUAUUUUGUGAUCAGUAAUGAUCUCUAGUUCUUCUUUGGUCAUAAAGACCUUCCCCUUCCACAGGUCUGAGAGGUAAACUAUCCUGUGUUCCUCUAAUUUAUUAAUAAUUUUAUUCUUUAUGCCUAGGUCAUGAACCCAUUUUGACCUUAUCUUGGUGUACGGCGUUAAGUGUGGAUCAAUGCCUAGUUUCUGCCAUAUUAAUUUCAAUUUUCCCAGCAAUUUUUAUCAAACAGCAAGUUCUUAUCCCAAAAGCUGGGGUCUUUGGGUUUGUCAAAGACUAGGUUGCUAUAUUUGUUGACUGUUUUAUCCCUUGAACCUAAUCUAUUCCUUAGCCAAUACCAAAUAGUUUUGGUAACUGCUGCUCUAUAAUUUUAGAUCUGGUACAGCUAAGCCACCUUCAUUUGAUUUUUUUUUCAUUAAUUCCCUUGAAAUUCUUGACCUUUUGUUUUUCCAUAUGAACUUUGUUGUUAUUUUUUCUAGGUCAUUAAAAUAGUUUUUUGGGACUCUGAUUGGUAUAGCGCUAAAUAAAUAGAUUAGUUUAGGUAAUAUUGUCAUCUUUAUUAUAUUUGCUCGCCCUAUCCAAGAGCAUUUAAUAUUUUUCCAAUUGGUUAGAUCAGACUUAAUUUGUGUUAAAAGUGGUCUGUAAUUUUGCUCAUAAAGUUUCUGAUUUUCCCUUGGCAGAUAGAUUCCUAAAUAUUUUAUAUUAUCAGUAGUUACUUUAAAUGGAAUUUCUCUUUGUAACUCUGACUGUUGGAUUUUGUUAGUGAUAUAUAAGAAUGCUGAUGACUUAUGUGGGUUUAUUUUAUAACCAGCAACUUUGCUAAAGUUGUGGAUUAUUUCUAAUAACUUUUUAGCAGAAUCUCUGGGGUUCUCUAAGUAUACCAUCAUGUCAUCGGCAAAGAGUGAUAAUUUGGUUUCCUCAUUGCCUAUUCUUAUUCCUUUAAUCUCUUUCUCAGCUCUUAUGGCUAAAGCUAGCGUUUCUAAUACAAUAUUAAAUAGUAACAGUGAUAGUGGGCAACCUUGUUUCACUCCAGAUCUUAUUGGGAAUGGUUGCAGUUUGUCUCCAUUACAUAUGAUGCUUACUGAUGGUUUUAAAUAGAUGCUGCUGAUUAUUUUAAGGAAAAGUCCAUUUAUUCCUAUACUCUCAAGUGUUUUUAGUAGGAAUGGAUGUUGGAUUUUAUCAAAUGCUUUUUCUGCAUCUAUUGAGAUGAUCAUAUGGUUUUUGUUAAUUUGGUUAUUAACAUGGCCAAUUAUAUUGAUAGUUUUCCUAAUAUUGAACCAGCCCUGCAUUCCUGGUAUAAAUCCUACUUGAUCAUAGUGUAUUAUCUUGGAGAUGAUUUUCUGUAGUCUUUUUGCUAAUAUCUUAUUUAAGAUUUUAGCAUCAAUAUUCAUUAGGGAGAUUGGUCUAUAAUUUUCUUUCUCUGUUUUCAGCCUACCUAGUUUAGGUAUCAGUACUAUGUCUGUGUCAUUGAAGAAAUUUGGUAGGACUCCUUCAUUCCCUAUUUUAUCAAAUAAUUUAUAUAGCAUUGGGGCCAAUUGUUCUUUAAAUGUUUGGUAAAAUUCACAUGUAAAUCCAUCUGGCUGGACCACCCAUUUUCAACAUGUAACAUUGGACAAGUUAUUCAACCACUUAAAAGUGGGUUGGCCUGUCUGUGAAUUGUGAUCACAUUUCCCCCUAUACAUUAGUUAUAUUAUGAAAGUACUGGGAUUAACAAGAAAUUUAUUAAGACGCUUGAGCUCCCUAAAAGAGAUAGGGUAUAUUCAAGUGUCAUUACUUAUCUCAAUAUUUGCCAAGUGCUCUGCAGUAAUUUAUGAGUUAUUCCUGGCACUGGAACUGGAUGAUUUUGCACUUUCCUGAAGCUAGUCUCCUUCCAUAUAUUAUAGGUUAUUUAUCAUCAGAGGAAAUCUCUAGCCCUAUUGUUUCCAGGAGCACAUUUAAGUCAGUAGUGGAAAUUUAUAGAAAGCUAUAACACACAAAGGGAACCCUUUCUUUUUUGAGUGAAUUACAUAAAAAAUAAAGAUUACAAAAAUAUUCCUAGCAGAAAAAUUUAAAAAAUUACACAGUGAUGGAUAUUUCCUAAAAUCUAAAAAUCUUGUUACUUGUGUACAAAAGAAAUUUGUCAGAACCUGAUUUUUUUUUCUUUAACCAAUAAUUCAUCUCCCCUCCAAAUCUCUCAUAGAAAUUAACAAAAAUUAAAAAGUGACGGAUUAAAUGACAUUGUUCAAAGCUGCAGGGAUACUAAAUUGUUAAAAUAAUACAAUAAGAAGAAUUGUUUGUUUGAAUCUAUCGCACAUGCCCAAGACAACUCUUCAAAUUUCUUUCCACUCUAAGUAAGAUGACUAGUGUUUUCCAACUAUGCUUAAUGAGGGCCAGUAUACUCAAUGAAGCAAUAGUGGAAGGAACACAAUAAAAUUAUUGAAAGAAUGAUCUUCCUAUUACCUGACCAGUUAGAGCAUUCUCAAAAUUUGCUCUCAUUAUUUCCCCUGUCCUCCUGAAAUGAGAUCAUCAGGGAGAAUGCCUUAUUUUCAUCACGUUUGGAAGGUGAGGACACUGAUGUAAUGCUAAAUAUAAUAGGAUCCAAUUAGAGUGAAAGGAGAAUUCUUACUGGAUUGCUAUCUUGAAAUAACUCAAGCGAUGUCAUGUAGGGAGGAAUUAGAAUUACAUCCACAACAUCCAGCCAAUGGGUGGAAGUUAUGGAUUGGCAGAUUUCAUUUCAAUAUAAGGGAGAAAUUGCUAACAAUUAGAGCUGGUCAAUAAUAAAUAGAUCUAGUUCAUAAAGCAAUAAGUUUCUUGUGCCUUGUGAAUGAAUGAAAAAAUGUUGAGUGCUUGUUCUGCACAGAAUGCUACACAAAUCAAAGAGGAUACAAGAAGAAAACAAUUCCUUGCUCUCUAGGAGCUCACUAUCAACUGGGGAAAGACAACAAAUUGUUCAGUAAAUUCAAAAGGCAAAUGACUCUUUCUUGUAAAAGGUUCUAAGCUAAAAAGCUGUAAAUAGAGUUUGUGCAUUAAGCGUUUCAUUCUGGUGUUAAAUGACAGAAGAUAUCAUCUAAUUUUAAAGUUCUAUAGCUUUAAUGACACUUUUUGUCUAAUUUUCAUAAGUUAUUUUAUCCCAAAUGGAGGUGAUAGCUAAUUAUCUAGUUGAGGAAUGCAUACAUGAUCUUUAUCAAUAGCCUUCUGGAAGAGUCUUGAAUCACCUCAUUGUUGAAAAGAACCAAGUCCAUCAAAGGUGAUCGUCAUUUAAUCUUAUUUUUAUUAUGUGUAACGUUCUCUUGGUUCUAUUCACUUUGCUUAGCAAAAGUUAAUGUAAGUCUUUCCAGACUUUUCUGAAAUCAUUUUGCUGAUCAUUUCUUAUAAAACAAUAAUACUCCAUUACAUCCAUAUAUAAUAAUUUAUUCAGCCCUUCCCCAACUGAUAGGCAUCCAUACAGUUUCCAGUUUUUUGCCUCUACAAAGAGGGCUGCCACAAACAUUUUUGUAUAUAUGGGUCCCUUUCCCUCCUUUAUGAUCUCUUUGGGAUACAGACCCAGUAGAGAAACUGCUAGAUCAAAGGGUAUGCUUAAUUUUAUAACCCCUUUGGCAAAAUUCCAAAUUGCUCUCCAGAACUGUUCAAUCAGUUCACAACUGAAAAUUGUAUGUUCAUGUCCUUUAACCAUUUUUUAGUGAAUGGCAUGAAUUCUUAUGAAUUUGAGUCAAUUCUCAAUAUAUUUUAGAAAUGAGGCCUUUAUCAGAAACAGUAAAUUUAAAAUUUUCCUCAACUUUCUUCUUCCCUUCUUAUUGUGACUGCACUGGUUUUCUUUGUACAAAACUUUUAUUUUUAAUUUAACACAAUCAAAAUUGUCCACUUUGCAUUUCACAGUGUUCUCUGGUUAUUCUUUGGCUAUAAAUUCCUCCCUUCCCCACAGAUCUGAGAAAUAGACUAUCCCUUGUCCUCCUAAUUUGCUUAAUUGUAACAUCCUUUAUGUUUCAAUCAUGACCCCUUUUAACCUUAUCUUGGUAUAGGGUGUUAAGUGUUGGUUAAUGCCUAGUUUCUACCAAACUAUUAUCCAAUUUCCCCAGCAAUUUUUGUCAAAUAGUGAGGUGGUAUCCCAGAAUCUAGACUCUUUAAGUUUAUCAAACACUAGAUUAUCAGUCAAUGACUAUUGUGUCUUGUAAACUUAAUCUAUUCCACUGAUCUAUUACUCAAUUUCUUAGCCAACACCAAAUAAUUUUGAUGACUGUUGCUUUCUAAUAUAGUUUUGGGUUUUGUUACAGCUAGGCUACCUUUAUUUGCAUUUUUCAUUAACUCUCUUAAAAUUCUUGACCUUUCGUCCUUCCAAAUGAAUUGUUGUUGUUUUUUCUAGCUCUAUAAUUUCUUGGCAUUUUGAUAUGGCACUGAAUAAGUAGAUUAAUUUAGGAAGAAAUGUCAUUUUUAUUAUUUUAGAUCAUCCUAACCAUGAGCAUAUGGCAUUCUUCCAAUUGUUUACAUCUAACUUUAUUUGUAUGGAAAGUGGUUUGCAAUUGUGUUCAUAAAGUUCCCGGGUUUUUCUUAGCAGACAGACUUCCAAAUAUUUUAUAUUAUCUACAAUUAUCUUAAAUGGAUUUUUUUCUAUUUCUUGCCAUUGAACUCUAUUGGUAACAUACAGAAAAGCUGAUGUUUUAUGUGAGUUUAUAUUCUAUCCUGCAACUUUGCUAAAGUUGUUAAUUGUUUCGAAUAGUUUUUAGUUGAAUCUCUAGGAUUCUUAAUCAUUUUCAGGUGACACAUUGACUCACAGGUAGUCUAUUAUUCUCUGCUUUUCUAAGUUGGGGUAUGCCAGCAAAGAGGCAAAAGUCAAAUAGAAAGAUGCAGCCUAGUGAUGAUAUUCAAUGUGCUAAAGGACC